Molecule: ribosomal RNA, 254 nt
Filed under: uncultured bacterium
Lineage: Bacteria
Description: partial 16S ribosomal RNA
Rfam family: Bacterial small subunit ribosomal RNA
Source: RNAcentral
UACGUAGGAGGCAAGCGUUGUCCGGAAUUACUGGGCGUAAAGCGCGUGUAGGUGGUGGGACAAGUCUGCUGUGAAAGCGCCUGGCUUAACCGGGCGAGGUCGGCGGAAACUGUCCGACUAGAGGACGGUAGAGGGGGGUGGAAUUCCCGGUGUAGUGGUGAAAUGCGUAGAGAUCGGGAGGAACACCUGUGGCGAAGGCGGCGAUCUGGGAAGAUACUGACGCUGAGGUGCGAAAGCGUGGGGAGCAAACAGGG